RNAcentral lists this ribosomal RNA (253 nucleotides) under uncultured bacterium. RNAcentral describes it as "partial 16S ribosomal RNA". It matches the Rfam family "Bacterial small subunit ribosomal RNA", at positions 524 to 776 of the family's 1533-position model. The record is from RNAcentral.
UACGUAGGGUGCAAGCGUUGUCCGGAAUUAUUGGGCGUAAAGAGCUCGUAGGCGGCUUGUCGCGUCGUUCGUGAAAACCUGCAGCUCAACUGCGGGCUUGCGGGCGAUACGGGCAGGCUAGAGUUCGGUAGGGGAGACUGGAAUUCCUGGUGUAGCGGUGGAAUGCGCAGAUAUCAGGAGGAACACCUAUAGCGAAGGCAGCUUGCUGGGACGUUACUGACGCUAAGGCGCGAAAGCGUGGGGAGCGAACAGG